Molecule: long non-coding RNA, 210 nt
Filed under: Mytilus galloprovincialis (Mediterranean mussel)
Lineage: Eukaryota; Metazoa; Mollusca; Bivalvia; Mytilida; Mytilidae
Source: RNAcentral
AUACAAUGGGAUAAGUGUGUUAUAUGUCAAGGUUCUUUUACUGAAUUGCUUAUUAAUAAUUGAGUAAUAAGCACAAACAAAAGCUUUAUCGAGGCUAUGGGAGCACGGAAAUAUUUGAGUUUAUUGCCUGAUGCUUCAGACCUAGACCAUUUUCGUACUUAUGAUUACAAAAUGUUGUAGCACCAUUCUUGCUACAAAUCUAAGACUAGC